RNAcentral lists this ribosomal RNA (468 nucleotides) under uncultured bacterium. Its description in RNAcentral is "partial 16S ribosomal RNA". It matches the Rfam family "Bacterial small subunit ribosomal RNA", at positions 28 to 507 of the family's 1533-position model. The record is from RNAcentral.
GACGAACGCUGGCGGCGUGCUUAACACAUGCAAGUCGAACGGAAAGGCCCUGCUUUUGUGGGGUGCUCGAGUGGCGAACGGGUGAGUAACACGUGAGUAACCUGCCCUUGACUUUGGGAUAACUUCAGGAAACUGGGGCUAAUACCGGAUAGGAGCUCCUGCUGCAUGGUGGGGGUUGGAAAGUUUCGGCGGUUGGGGAUGGACUCGCGGCUUAUCAGCUUGUUGGUGGGGUAGUGGCUUACCAAGGCUUUGACGGGUAGCCGGCCUGAGAGGGUGACCGGCCACAUUGUGACUGAGAUACGGCCCAGACUCCUACGGGAGGCAGCAGUGGGGAAUAUUGCACAAUGGGCGGAAGCCUGAUGCAGCAACGCCGCGUGCGGGAUGACGGCCUUCGGGUUGUAAACCGCUUUCGCCUGUGACGAAGCGUGAGUGACGGUAAUGAGUAAAGAAGCACCGGCUAACUACGUG